RNAcentral lists this transfer RNA (73 nucleotides) under Lactiplantibacillus plantarum. RNAcentral describes it as "Lactobacillus plantarum tRNA-Asn". It matches the Rfam family "tRNA". Rfam says of the family: Transfer RNA (tRNA) molecules are approximately 80 nucleotides in length. The record is from RNAcentral. Lineage: Bacteria; Bacillati; Bacillota; Bacilli; Lactobacillales; Lactobacillaceae.
GUGGCCUUAGCUCAGUUGGUAGAGCGCCUGACUGUUAAUCAGGUUGUCGCUGGUUCGAGUCCAGCAGGCUUCG